This 21-nucleotide non-coding RNA is filed under the name Arabidopsis thaliana (thale cress). The record is from RNAcentral. Lineage: Eukaryota; Viridiplantae; Streptophyta; Magnoliopsida; Brassicales; Brassicaceae.
GUAGAGGUGGAAAGUCAGCGC